AGCAAACCAACCACUCCAUUUUAGAACGAACUUCGUACGAACCUGAAUUGUCCAAUUUCCUGGACCAAUAGAUAUCGGAUUGAGUACAAAACUUGGGGAACAUCAUAAUAUGAUGGGUGGAGUCAUUUGGUGAGUUUUGAACGAAAUCCAAUGCCUAAAACUAUACAAUACACCACCCACUCCAUUUCAUAAUGAACUUCGUACGAACCUAAAUUGUCCAAUUUCAUGGCCUAAUCGAUAUCAGAUUGAGUCCAAAACUUGGUGAACACCAUAAUAUGAUGGGAGAAGUCGUUUGGUGGGUUCUGCGUGUAAUCCAAUGGCUACAACUAUG
RNAcentral lists this long non-coding RNA (331 nucleotides) under Prunus persica (peach). RNAcentral describes it as "long non-coding RNA (PPER_LNC001044)". The record is from RNAcentral. Lineage: Eukaryota; Viridiplantae; Streptophyta; Magnoliopsida; Rosales; Rosaceae.